This 522-nucleotide long non-coding RNA is filed under the name Oryza brachyantha (malo sina). Its description in RNAcentral is "long non-coding RNA (OBRA_LNC000164)". The record is from RNAcentral. Lineage: Eukaryota; Viridiplantae; Streptophyta; Magnoliopsida; Poales; Poaceae.
ACGCAACUAGAAUGUCUACACAAAGUGUUUAUCCACUAUGUUUUUCUAAUAAAGUAUUAAAUUAACCUGGACUCUACACCUUUUGGAGUGUAUAUACACAGCCAAAUCAUCCAGUGAUGGAUAUUACCCACUAUGUUUGCUCACCUAAUUUGUUGAUAGUCUGGUGAUUCGAAUAGGACUGGAACAUCAACACCUUAAUCAGAUCACCGAUGUUUCGUUAUUCCAGCUUGCUGCCCAUACGCUGUAGGCUGGUACUUUGCCUCGUCCGUUCAGCAGUGUAGGCAGUUUAAUUCAGACGAAAUCAACUAAUGCAGACCACAUGGUGCUGAUUGUCAAGUUGUCUGCAGACAUGGUUAAUUUCCAAAUCGGUGGAAUAUACAUUCGAUAAUUCCCCUGUCAUGUGAACCUACCACAAAAUUCCUAAUGCACCCCAAUCGUAGUUAUAUAUAGAUGUUUAGUGGGACAAUUGGUAUUAAACGUUGUUGAUUGCCUCUUAACUCUUGUUUGCAUGUACACUCCAUU